Long non-coding RNA from Lotus japonicus, 639 nucleotides. RefSeq lists it as uncharacterized. The transcript has 6 exons. The record is from RefSeq and is a predicted model, not a curated record. Lineage: Eukaryota; Viridiplantae; Streptophyta; Magnoliopsida; Fabales; Fabaceae.
CUACAAACUCGUAAAUCCCUUACUGCUUAGUAGUCUCUUUGUAGGGGUGAAAAUGGAGAAGGGUAUCAUCGUGGCUUAUUAGCAGUUAGCAAAUUAAUUGAAUGGGACAAUCAGUAGCCUAAUCCUAUUCCCUCCAGUUCCUGUUGGGUCUGGUAGUGGUCUUCUCCCUGGGACUGCUGCUGGUGUGUAUCUUCAAGAAGGGGUUUCUACUUCUAGUGUUUCUUCUAGCUUUGGUGGGAUGGCACUGCCACUGGACUCGGUCACUGUCAAUCUGCUAGCUUUCCUAUAAGAAGAAAGCUAGCAGAUUGUGCAAUUCUUGUUCAACAAUGCUAGUACUUAUUUACUGUGGUAACGAUGAUGCUUCAAUAGGAAUCUCACAGAUAUUUCCUUCUAUGAAGAAGUGUGGCUCAGAUAUAACCAAAUUGCUAAACUUCUCUUGAGAAGGAUGCCCUUGAUUCUAAGUCAAAGAAGGAAAAAGUCCUUGUUGAGUGCAGCACACACUCAAGUAGAGCCUAAACUCCUCCAUUACCCUCUCAGAAUCAGCCCUGUACUGAGAUGAAGUCAGGUAUUUCUUCACAUGCUCCACACUUUUUUGUGAUGAAUUUAUUGUUAUGAUGAAAUUUAAUAAAAAAAACACAA